This 1898-nucleotide long non-coding RNA is filed under the name Helianthus annuus (common sunflower). RNAcentral describes it as "hypothetical non coding rna". Lineage: Eukaryota; Viridiplantae; Streptophyta; Magnoliopsida; Asterales; Asteraceae. The record is from RNAcentral.
GUGUGUGUAUGCAGGUCGAUCUUCAGGAAAAGAAAAAGGGGUGCAAACCCUAGUUCACCAAAAUCAACAAAUUGAAGGUCAAAUUCAGCCCAAAUCAGAUGCAUGAACACAAAUUCGUGAUCACCUAUUCGUGGGGAUCACAAGUUAGCGCUUAACAAGCUAGGAGGAAGCUUGGGGAGAAAGCGGGUCAAACGAAUCAAGUACGAGAAGAAAAGUGUAAACUGGAUAAGAGGUAAGUAAAACUUACACCUUUUUGUAGGAUACAUGUUUAUUCUAUAAGUUAGGAAUACAAUAAAGAUAAUAUUCGAAAUAUGGUUUCUGACGCGAAAAGAUACGGGUCAGAACUAAUAUAAUGAUAGAAACCAUGUUUAAUGGUAAAAUGUGUUAAACAAUAAAUUAGUCAUGAAAAGACUAAGAGAAAAUGAGUUUUGAACGGCUACUUAUUAAGUAAGCCUAAAUGAGUAAAAAGGGUAAAACGGUGUUUUAGUUACGAACGAAUAGGUAAAAGUUGAAAUAUAAAACGACACCAAUCGACAUAAGUCAUGUCGGGCUAAACGCGUAAGAAAAAGGGUUUAAGAGACAUAGCUAAAGAGGUGAAAAAUCUGAAUUGAGUUAUUUAAUGAAAUGGUAAAUAGAUACCAUUUCAAUAUAAGCACAAAGUGUUUAAUCGUUUAGACCAAACAAGUCAAAUGGUAAUAUAGAUACCAUUUGACAAAUGAUGACUAAUAAAUGCUUGUCGAGUCUUAUGCGCACAGGAUAAAACGGUUAUGAUUUAGCGGUGCUAUCAAUUAGCAUAUUAUGGAUGCAAGGUAUCAAACGGGUCAGUGUGUUGAUCCGAACCAGGUACGCAUAUUUUGUAUUGUAGUUAGAAGCAAUAUCAUGGUCAAUUAUUUGGCGAAAGCCCUUCGUCGCAAAAAGAAGGACUAAAAUUGACCAAAAAGCCCCUGAGGGGUAAAUAGGGAAAAAAAAACCUUUAUGAGUUGUUUAGAAAUAAGCGUUUUGUUAAAUUGAGGCCUUGGGAUGCAUAUAAAAUAGAGAUAGGGUGUAAACUAAAAGAUACGUGAUUUAAGCUUAAAAGUGCUAAAUACCAGUAACGGGUCAAAAUAAGUAGAUAUGCAAAACGAGUUAAGAUUUGCAUAAGAACUCGUAAUUUGAACCUUGAAUAUUAGUAAACUGAUAAAAUGUGAUUUGCAUGACAUUUCAAAGAUAACCAACAAGUUUGUUUGAUCAAAACGCCAACGGGUCAAAAAGUGUCAAAAUUGAAUUUCAAGCCGAGAGCUUGAAAUUCUAAAAUUUUGUGAGUUUAGAUGUCGGUUUUUACUCCAUGAGAUGGAGGAUUAAAUUACGGUCGCAUAGGAAAAAGGAUCGCCUAAAACGGACUAGUAGAUAAAAAGUUAUGGCCAUUUAAAGUUCGAUUUUUGUUGAAUAAUUGAGCUGGGCAGAAAAUGCAGGUUCAGAAACGGACCUGCUGGAAAUUUGUCUCGCUCGCGACACGCGACAGGGUCCCUCAAUUGGGGCGCGGCAGGCGGCAGGUGUCGUGACUCGCGACAGGUUAAAAGUUUCCUUCCGCGACACGCGGAAGGCAUGAUUUUGGGAAUUUUAUUUUGGGAUAUCAUUAUUUGACAUUGGAACAUAUUUAUACAUGUUUAUAAGCUGUCAAAACUAACUUUUAAGUUGGUUUUGAUUAUAGGUGAGUAUAGCAAGCAUCCGGAUGAUGAUCAAGAAAUCAAGUGAACCGAACACAUGUCAAAUGAAGCUUUCGCAACGACUUCACUUUGUUUUGUUUUAAGUAAACUAUGUAAACACUUGGAAUUAUAUUUUGUUUACUUUAAUCACGUAUGAACUUUGACUUACAAAGUUUUUAGAAAGUCACAUUUUACGCAUAAAAUGCGUAAUUA